AACGAACGCUGGCGGCAUGCCUAACACAUGCAAGUCGAACGAGACCUUCGGGUCUAGUGGCGCACGGGUGCGUAACGCGUGGGAAUCUGCCCUUGGGUUCGGAAUAACUCGCCGAAAGGCGUGCUAAUACCGGAUGAUGACGUAAGUCCAAAGAUUUAUCGCCCAAGGAUGAGCCCGCGUUGGAUUAGCUAGUUGGUGAGGUAAAGGCUCACCAAGGCGACGAUCCAUAGCUGGUCUGAGAGGAUGAUCAGCCACACUGGGACUGAGACACGGCCCAGACUCCUACGGGAGGCAGCAGUGGGGAAUAUUGGACAAUGGGCGAAAGCCUGAUCCAGCAAUGCCGCGUGAGUGAUGAAGGCCUUAGGGUUGUAAAGCUCUUUUACCCGGGAUGAUAAUGACCGUACCGGGAGAAUAAACUCCGGCUAACUCCGU
Molecule: ribosomal RNA, 432 nt
Filed under: uncultured bacterium
Lineage: Bacteria
Description: partial 16S ribosomal RNA
Rfam family: Bacterial small subunit ribosomal RNA
Source: RNAcentral